AUGGGCGCCCACGUCAUAGGUUGUCCCGGGGCAUCUGCUGCUUCUGGACCUAAGAGGGAAAUCGGUGAAAUACCGGUGCUGCCCCCGCAACUGUGACCGGGGAGUGUUCUGUCCCACUUUGCCACUGGCCGAAGGUAAUCCUUGCGAUUGCGGGCCGGGAAGGCGGACGGAAUGCUGUGAUCCGGGAGCCAGGAGACCUGCCUGUGUCGGUCGUUCAGC
RNAcentral lists this non-coding RNA (219 nucleotides) under Caenibius tardaugens. The record is from RNAcentral. RNAcentral also lists the same sequence under 1 other name. Lineage: Bacteria; Pseudomonadati; Pseudomonadota; Alphaproteobacteria; Sphingomonadales; Erythrobacteraceae.